Molecule: long non-coding RNA, 251 nt
Organism: Momordica charantia (bitter melon)
Lineage: Eukaryota; Viridiplantae; Streptophyta; Magnoliopsida; Cucurbitales; Cucurbitaceae
Source: RefSeq, a predicted model, not a curated record
UUUUAUUUUAAUUCUAUGGAGUAGCUAUUAGUUCAGCCAAUCCAAGAACAGACGACCAGAAAAUUAUGUAAAAUUUCUGGUGAAACAAUUACAAGAUACAAAGAUUUUGAUGGCUCAGCUCUCCCAUCUCCAUUUUCUUACCAAAACUGGCUUCCACUCUCAAUCAUCAGAAACAGGUGGUGUUCUUGUUUCUCUCAAGCCAACGCAUCCAAAGAACCAAAUUUGCUCUUGCCAAAUGAUGAAUAAUUCAG